Molecule: ribosomal RNA, 468 nt
Filed under: uncultured bacterium
Lineage: Bacteria
Description: partial 16S ribosomal RNA
Rfam family: Bacterial small subunit ribosomal RNA
Source: RNAcentral
GACGAACGCUGGCGGCGUGCUUAACACAUGCAAGUCGAACGGAAAGGCCCUGCUUUUGUGGGGUGCUCGAGUGGCGAACGGGUGAGUAACACGUGAGUAACCUGCCCUUGACUUUGGGAUAACUUCAGGAAACUGGGGCUAAUACCGGAUAGGAGCUCCUGCUGCAUGGUGGGGGUUGGAAAGUUUCGGCGGUUGGGGAUGGACUCGCGGCUUAUCAGCUUGUUGGAGGGGUAGUGGCUUACCAAGGCUUUGACGGGUAGCCGGCCUGAGAGGGUGACCGGACACGUUGGAACUGAGCUACGGCCCAGACUCGUACGGGAGGCAGCAGUGGGGAAUAUUGCAUAAUGGGCGGAAGCCUGACGCAGCAACGCCGCGUGCGGGGUGACGGCCUUCGGUUUGUAAACCGCUUUCGCCUGUGACGAAGCGUGAGUGACGGUAAUGGGUAAAUAAGCACCGGCUAACUACGUG